AACGAACGCUGGCGGCAUGCCUAACACAUGCAAGUCGAACGAGACCUUCGGGUCUAGUGGCGCACGGGUGCGUAACGCGUGGGAACCUGCCCUUAGGUUCGGAAUAACUCCCCGAAAGGGGUGCUAAUACCGGAUAAUGUCUUCGGACCAAAGAUUUAUCGCCUUUGGAUGGGCCCGCGUUGGAUUAGCUAGUUGGUAGGGUAAAAGCCUACCAAGGCGACGAUCCAUAGCUGGUCUGAGAGGAUGAUCAGCCACACUGGGACUGAGAAACGGCCCAGACUCCUACGGGAGGCAGCAGUGGGGAAUAUUGGACAAUGGGCGAAAGCCUGAUCCAGCAAUGCCGCGUGAGUGAUGAAGGCCUUAGGGUUGUAAAGCUCUUUUACCCGGGAUGAUAAUGACAGUACCGGGAGAAUAAGCUCCGGCUAACUCCGU
RNAcentral lists this ribosomal RNA (432 nucleotides) under uncultured bacterium. Its description in RNAcentral is "partial 16S ribosomal RNA". It matches the Rfam family "Bacterial small subunit ribosomal RNA", at positions 29 to 506 of the family's 1533-position model. The record is from RNAcentral.